Molecule: ribosomal RNA, 445 nt
Filed under: uncultured bacterium
Lineage: Bacteria
Description: partial 16S ribosomal RNA
Rfam family: Bacterial small subunit ribosomal RNA
Source: RNAcentral
GUGGGGAAUUUUGGACAAUGGGCGCAAGCCUGAUCCAGCAAUGCCGCGUGCAGGAAGAAGGCGCUACGCGUUGUAAACUGCUUUUAACCGGGAAGAAACCCCAGGACGUGUCCUGGGUUGACGGUACCGGAGGAAUAAGCACCGGCUAACUUCGUGCCAGCAGCCGCGGUAAUACGAAGGGUGCAAGCGUUAUCCGGAUUCAUUGGGUUUAAAGGGUGCGUAGGCGGAGCGUUAAGUCAGUGGUGAAAUCCUGCAGCUUAACUGUAGACUUGCCAUUGAUACUGGCGCUCUUGAGUGCGCUUGAAGUGGGCGGAAUGUGCCGUGUAGCGGUGAAAUGCUUAGAUAUGGCACAGAACACCAAUUGCGAAGGCAGCUCACUAAGGCGAUACUGACGCUGAGGCACGAAAGCGUGGGGAUCGAACAGGAUUAGAUACCCCUGUAGUCC